GGCGGCGUGCUUAACACAUGCAAGUCAAGGGGGCCCAGCAAUGGGCAACCGGCGAACGGGUGCGUAACACGUGAGCAACCUACCGAACUGUGGGGGAUAGCCGGCCUAACGGCCGAGUAAUACCGCAUACGCUCUCUGAGAGGCAUUUCUUUGAGAGGAAACCUACGGGACAGAUCGAGGGGCUCGCGGCCUAUCAGCUAGUUGGCGAGGUAACGGCUCACCAAGGCAACGACGGGUAGCUGGUCUGAGAGGAUGGCCAGCCACAUUGGGACUGAGAUACGGCCCAGACUCCUACGGGAGGCAGCAGUGGGGAAUCUUGCGCAAUGGCCUAACGGCUGACGCAGCGACGCCGCGUGUGGGAUGAAGCUCUUCGGAGUGUAAACCACUGUUGCCCGGGACGAAUAGCUCGAUUAAUCGAGCCUGACGGUACCGGGUGAGGAAGCACCGGCUAACUCCGUGCCAGCAGCCGCGGUAAUACGGGGGGUGCGAGCGUUGUCCGGAAUCACUGGGCGU
RNAcentral lists this ribosomal RNA (513 nucleotides) under uncultured bacterium. Its description in RNAcentral is "bacterial SSU rRNA". It matches the Rfam family "Bacterial small subunit ribosomal RNA", at positions 38 to 561 of the family's 1533-position model. The record is from RNAcentral.